GAUCAUGGCUCAGGACGAACGCUGGCGGCGUGCUUAACACAUGCAAGUCGAACGGAAAGGCCCUGCUUUUGUGGGGUGCUCGAGUGGCGAACGGGUGAGUAACACGUGAGUAACCUGCCCUUGACUUUGGGAUAACUUCAGGAAACUAGGGGCGUAAUACCGGAUAGGAGCUCCUGCUGCAUGGUGGGGGUUGGAAAGUUUCGGCGGUUGGGGAGUGGACUCGCGGCUUAUCAGCUUGUUGGUGGGGUAGUGGCUU
RNAcentral lists this ribosomal RNA (256 nucleotides) under uncultured bacterium. RNAcentral's name for it is "partial 16S ribosomal RNA". It matches the Rfam family "Bacterial small subunit ribosomal RNA", at positions 15 to 266 of the family's 1533-position model. The record is from RNAcentral.